AUCUUCCGCAAUGGACGAAACUCUGACGCAGCGACGCCGCGUGAGCGAUGAAGGUUUUCGGAUCGUAAAGCUCUGUCCUUGGGGAAGAAGGCGGCCAUUUAUUGUCACUUGACGUUACCCAAGGAGGAAGCUCCGCCUAACUACGUGCCAGCCGCCGCGGUAAUACGUAGGGGGCAAGCGUUGCCCGGAAUUAUUGGGCGUAAAGGGUGCGUAGGCGGCCUUUUAAGUCAGAUGUGAAAGACCACGGCUUAACCGUGGGGUUGCAUUUGAAACUGGAGGGCUUGAGUAUCGGAGAGGGUAGUGGAAUUCCCAGUGUAGCGGUGGAAUGCGUAGAUAUUGGGAGGAACACCAGUGGCGAAGGCGACUACCUGGACGAAAACUGACGCUGAGGCACGAAAGCUAGGGGAGCAAACA
This 414-nucleotide ribosomal RNA is filed under the name uncultured bacterium. RNAcentral's name for it is "partial 16S ribosomal RNA". It matches the Rfam family "Bacterial small subunit ribosomal RNA", at positions 361 to 774 of the family's 1533-position model. The record is from RNAcentral.